Molecule: unclassified non-coding RNA, 264 nt
Filed under: plant metagenome
Description: partial contains small subunit ribosomal RNA, internal transcribed spacer 1, and 5.8S ribosomal RNA
Source: RNAcentral
GUUUCCGUAGGUGAACCUGCGGAAGGAUCAUUAUUGUAUAACCGAGGUGCGAGGGCUGUCGCUGACCCGAAAGGUCGUGCACGCCCGAGUGCCCUCACACACAUCCAUCUCACCCCUAUGUGCACCACCGCGUGGGUCCCCCUUUGGCUUGUUCGGAGGGGGGCUUACGUUUUCACACAAACUUUGUAUGCAGUGUAGAAUGUAUUUUUUGUUUUUGCGAUCACGCAAUCAAUACAACUUUCAACAACGGAUCUCUUGGCUCUC